Molecule: ribosomal RNA, 647 nt
Filed under: uncultured bacterium
Lineage: Bacteria
Description: bacterial SSU rRNA
Rfam family: Bacterial small subunit ribosomal RNA
Source: RNAcentral
GUAAUGCCUAGGAAUCUGCCUAGUGGUGGGGGAUAACGUUCGGAAACGGACGCUAAUACCGCAUACGUCCUACGGGAGAAAGCGGGGGACCUUCGGGCCUCGCGCCAUUAGAUGAGCCUAGGUCGGAUUAGCUAGUUGGUGAGGUAAUGGCUCACCAAGGCGACGAUCCGUAACUGGUCUGAGAGGAUGAUCAGUCACACUGGAACUGAGACACGGUCCAGACUCCUACGGGAGGCAGCAGUGGGGAAUAUUGGACAAUGGGCGAAAGCCUGAUCCAGCCAUGCCGCGUGUGUGAAGAAGGUCUUCGGAUUGUAAAGCACUUUAAGUUGGGAGGAAGGGUAGUAACUUAAUACGUUGCUACUUUGACGUUACCGACAGAAUAAGCACCGGCUAACUUCGUGCCAGCAGCCGCGGUAAUACGAAGGGUGCAAGCGUUAAUCGGAAUUACUGGGCGUAAAGCGCGCGUAGGUGGUUCAGUAAGUUGGAUGUGAAAUCCCCGGGCUCAACCUGGGAACUGCAUCCAAAACUGCUGAGCUAGAGUACGGUAGAGGGUAGUGGAAUUUCCUGUGUAGCGGUGAAAUGCGUAGAUAUAGGAAGGAACACCAGUGGCGAAGGCGACUACCUGGACUGGUACUGACACUGAGGUG